AUUGAACGCUGGCGGCAUGCCUUACACAUGCAAGUCGAACGGCAGCACGGGUGCUUGCACCUGGUGGCGAGUGGCGAACGGGUGAGUAAUACAUCGGAACAUGUCCUGUAGUGGGGGAUAGCCCGGCGAAAGCUGGAUUAAUACCGCAUACGAUCCACGGAUGAAAGCGGGGGACCUUCGGGCCUCGCGCUAUAGGGUUGGCCGAUGGCUGAUUAGCUAGUUGGUGGGGUAAAGGCCUACCAAGGCGACGAUCAGUAGCUGGUCUGAGAGGACGACCAGCCACACUGGGACUGAGACACGGCCCAGACUCCUACGGGAGGCAGCAGUGGGGAAUUUUGGACAAUGGGCGAAAGCCUGAUCCAGCAAUGCCGCGUGUGUGAAGAAGGCCUUCGGGUUGUAAAGCACUUUUGUCCGGAAAGAAAUCCUUGGCUCUAAUACAGUCGGGGGAUGACGGUACCGGAAGAAUAAGCACCGGCUAACUACGUG
Molecule: ribosomal RNA, 486 nt
Filed under: uncultured bacterium
Lineage: Bacteria
Description: partial 16S ribosomal RNA
Rfam family: Bacterial small subunit ribosomal RNA
Source: RNAcentral